UCCGUAGGCGGGCGUUUAAGUCAGUGGUGAAAUCUCUCGGCUCAACCGAGAAACUGCCAUUGAAACUGAUAGCCUUGAGUAUGGUUGUGGUAGGCGGAAUAUAGCAUGUAGCGGUGAAAUGCUUAGAUAUGCUAUAGAACACCGAUCGCGAAGGCAGCUUACCAAACCAUUACUGACGCUCAUGCACGAAAGCGUGGGGAGCAAACAGGAUUAGAUACCCUGGUAGUCC
Molecule: ribosomal RNA, 229 nt
Filed under: uncultured bacterium
Lineage: Bacteria
Description: partial 16S ribosomal RNA
Rfam family: Bacterial small subunit ribosomal RNA
Source: RNAcentral